UCCGAGUUGUCCCCGGCAGUCCCAUUAGAGUCCCCGACUUUACUCGCUGGCAACUAAUGGCAGGGGUUGCGCUCGUUGCGGCACUUAAGCCAACACCUCACGGCACGAGCUGACGACAGCCAUGCAGCACCUGUGCUAGCCCUAUAACGACACGGGCUUUCACCCGCUUUAACUAGCACGUCAAGCCUAGGUAAGGUGGGGAUGACGUUCCACAGACUAUAC
Molecule: unclassified non-coding RNA, 222 nt
Filed under: uncultured Actinomycetes bacterium
Lineage: Bacteria; Bacillati; Actinomycetota; Actinomycetes
Description: uncultured actinobacterium contains 16S-23S intergenic spacer region
Source: RNAcentral